Long non-coding RNA from Felis catus (domestic cat), 384 nucleotides. RefSeq lists it as uncharacterized. The transcript has 3 exons. Lineage: Eukaryota; Metazoa; Chordata; Mammalia; Carnivora; Felidae. The record is from RefSeq and is a predicted model, not a curated record.
UGAGAUCAUGACCUGAGCCAAAGUUAGAUGCCUAACCGACUGAGCCACCCAGCCAGAAUGAAGAAACAGAGAUGUGCUAUGAGAUACAGAGGAGUGCUCCCAUAGAGUACCACACCACAACAUUCCUGGAAAAGAUCUGGAAGAGCCAUGAAAAUUCAGUCAGGGUGAUGAGCAUUCAGUGGUCAUUCCUGCAGGCAGCCUUUCCUAAACAGCAAUGGAUGGCUGAGUCCAAUUCAAGUCAGCCCCUUAAACCUUACCUGCUUUGAUAGGAGUUGGUUAACGACAACAAGAGGAAGGGAUUAGAGUGGAAGAUAAAGAAAGCUGUUGGCCUAGGACUCUCUGUAAUUCUGUACCCAGAAUAAAUGAGAAACAUAUUGGAAAAUA